Molecule: ribosomal RNA, 371 nt
Filed under: uncultured bacterium
Lineage: Bacteria
Description: bacterial SSU rRNA
Rfam family: Bacterial small subunit ribosomal RNA
Source: RNAcentral
AGAGGGGGCAAGCGUUAUUCGGAAUUAUUGGGCGUAAAGGGCGCGUAGGCGGCUUGGCAAGUGGAAGGUGAAAUCCCUCGGCUUAACCGAGGAACUGCCCUCCAAACUGCUUUGCUUGAGGCCGGGAGAGGUGAGUGGAAUUCCCAGUGUAGCGGUGAAAUGCGUAGAUAUUGGGAGGAACACCAGUGGCGAAGGCGGCUCACUGGACCGGUUCUGACGCUGAUGCGCGAAAGCGUGGGGAGCAAACGGGAUUAGAUACCCCGGUAGUCCACGCCGUAAACGAUGAGUGCUUGGUGUAGCGGGUAUCGACCCCUGCUGUGCCGAAGUCAACACAUUAAGCACUCCGCCUGGGGAGUACGGUCGCAAGGCGG